Molecule: long non-coding RNA, 2035 nt
Filed under: Pan troglodytes (chimpanzee)
Lineage: Eukaryota; Metazoa; Chordata; Mammalia; Primates; Hominidae
Description: long non-coding RNA NONPTRT017620
Source: RNAcentral
GCAGGGGCAGGGAUGGGAGUGCUUGAAGCCUGCUUCAUUCCCAAAGAUUUCUAGGGAAAAGCUUUCUACUACAUCCUUUGGCUUGACCUUCUUGACCCAUGACUCUCUUUCAAGGAAGUUCACUCCAAUUCCCAGUCUGCCCUGUUUCCACUGGCCACAUUCUCUAAGGAAGAACACAGCAGAACAAUAGCAUCUGUUUUGUUUCUGCAUGGCUGGAGGGUAGGGCUGUCGGUCUAGCACCCAUAAACCAAAAUGAGGCAGGGAUUGGGGCUUGCCCUAUGAUGCUCUGAUGACCAAAGCAGAUGCGUAGAGGCAAGCAGCAUGGUAUUGGGCAAGAGGACUGGACUGGGAGUCCAGAGAUGCUGCUUCACCCUGGGCCUUUAGACACUUCUCUUCCCCUCCCAGAGCCUCAGCAUCCCUUCUAUCAAAUGAUGACAUUCUGCCUUUUUCCCAGGGUGGUUGUGGGGAUCGAGGGAGACAGUGGCUAUAGGGAUGCUGUGUUAACUGCAGAUGCAGCCAUAGGAGCACUUUGCUAACCGCCAACGUGAGUUCAGAUUCUUCAGGGUAUUUGGCACCCAGGUCUAUGGUGCGGUGUGAAAUCUGUGAUGUAAGGUUUGAUGCCUGCCCCAACUCCAGUCUUGCUAACACACAUGAAACAUUUGGCGAAUCAUGACCCUACCUUGGGGAAAAGAGCAGUCUGGGAGAGCUUCUUCAAGGCAACCUGACUUCAGUGCAGUCUGAGGCAUGGCUGAGAUAGGCUUACGUGGCAAGGAAUCAGGAGGGUAUCUGGGCCAAGAGCUGCAGUGUGGGCAGAGGUGUAGUGUGGGCUGCAACGAGGACAGCCACUGGACAAAGCAGAGAACAGAGACAGAAUGAGGAAGAGCUCUGUGGGCAGGGUGGGGCAUAAGGUGGAGAACCUUCAAAGUCUGAAAAGUUUGACUUGUUGGGGCUCAAUGCUGUGGGCAGUAGGGAACCACAGAAGGCUGUUAGGUGGAGAAAUGACAGCUGGACAUUAGUGAGCAAGCCCUAUCUCCAUGAGCAGCACGGGUGGUCCCCUAAGCACACCAGGCACGAGUGUGCAGGGAGCUGGUGCAAAUGCCUCUGUGUGCGGGUGAGCUUCUGUGUUGUGACUCUGCCCACACGUGUGCUUCAGUGUGCUGAGUGGCUGCAUGCCCCAGAUCCAUGCUGCACGCGCCGCCGGCCAGUGAGGGUGCUGGGCACUGGGAGGUGGCGGGGAAGGAGGCGUAUGCGUGUUGUUUGUGGGCAUGUGUGUUAGCGUGUGCAUGUGGGCCAUGGGGCCUCACAGCAUGUGUGUGCACGCCCGGGCGUGUGCGUGUGUGUGUCCCCCACCCCCAGGCCUGCCCCACCCGUGCGUGUGAACUGCCAUGUUGAUUUCGUGCUGUCUUUCAGAAUCACUAUCAGUGACCCCUGAGGAGCGUCAGCCAUGCCGAUCGGGUCAGGCAAGUCCAUCCCGUCCUGAGAGCCCCAGGCCCCCCUUCGACCUCUAAACAGAUCCCUCCUCUUCUCGGAGACCUCCCUUUCCAAGCCUGCCUGGACGGCUGUCCUGUGACUUGACAGUGGCUCCCCCAGCCCCAAAGCCAGCCCCCUUCAUCUGUGACUUAAUCUGUUGUAGUGGUGAGCUGAUACAUUCAGGCGUGACCGUUGGUGAAAACUUGUGCCCCUUCUGUGGUAUGCCCUUGCCCUGUUCUAUAAAUAUCUAUAAAUACUCAUAUAUAUACACACCUACACAUGGCCAACCGCCUCGCCUCUAGCGCUGGGAAUCAGUCACUGUGCUAUCCUUGUGGAGUCUUGUGGCCCAACUACAAGAGAACGCUGUCCCCCGACAUCCCACUCCAAAGUGUGCCACCUCCAGUGAGCCUCCUUGUCAUGCCCGGCCUGUGGACAGCCAGCCCCCACCAUCCCUCCCACCCCCUACCAAGCAUGGGGGUGCUGUGCAGGCAGCCGUGUGGCCUGACAGUCUCUACCAGUCCUGCUGUCCCUCGGCUGAGAAUAAAACCCAUUUCUGGAUGAUGGG